CCUACGGGAGGCAGCAGUGGGGAAUUUUGGACAAUGGGCGCAAGCCUGAUCCAGCCAUGCCGCGUGAGUGAAGAAGGCCUUCGGGUUGUAAAGCUCUUUCGGCCGGGAAGAAAUCGUGUUCUCUAACAUAGGACAUGGAUGACGGUACCGGACUAAGAAGCACCGGCUAACUACGUGCCAGCAGCCGCGGUAAUAUGUAG
RNAcentral lists this ribosomal RNA (200 nucleotides) under uncultured bacterium. RNAcentral's name for it is "partial 16S ribosomal RNA". It matches the Rfam family "Bacterial small subunit ribosomal RNA", at positions 338 to 530 of the family's 1533-position model. The record is from RNAcentral.